This 88-nucleotide transfer RNA is filed under the name bacterium. Its description in RNAcentral is "tRNA-Tyr". It matches the Rfam family "tRNA". Rfam says of the family: Transfer RNA (tRNA) molecules are approximately 80 nucleotides in length. Their secondary structure includes four short double-helical elements and three loops (D, anti-codon, and T loops). The record is from RNAcentral.
UGGUCAGUAUGCAAAUUGGCUGAAGCGAGCGGGUUGUAACCCCGUAGUGUAAUAACCGUUGUAGGUUCAAAUCCUACCUGGCCAACCA